UACGUAGGCAGCAAGCGUUGUUCGGAAUUACUGGGCGUAAAGGGUGCGUAGGCGGCUUUUUAAGUUUGGUGUGAAAUCUCCCGGCUCAACUGGGAGGGUGCGCCGAAUACUGAGAAGCUAGAGUGUGGGAGAGGAAAGUGGAAUUCCUGGUGUAGCGGUGAAAUGCGCAGAUAUCAGGAGGAACACCAAUGGCGAAGGCAGCUCGCUGGGACGGUACUGACGCUGAGACGCGAAAGCGUGGGGAGCAAACAGG
This 253-nucleotide ribosomal RNA is filed under the name uncultured bacterium. RNAcentral's name for it is "partial 16S ribosomal RNA". It matches the Rfam family "Bacterial small subunit ribosomal RNA", at positions 524 to 776 of the family's 1533-position model. The record is from RNAcentral.